UUGGCUGAGUCUCACUCUCACGUGGUGGUUAACGUGAAGUGCACUCAAAAAGCCCACCUCAGGAGAUACCCUACGCGCCUCUACGAUCGAGGUGAGAAUAUAAAGGAGUUUACCGUGCCCCUCUAAUAGGCUGGUCCACGGAACCCCCCACCACUGCAGUAGCUAAUCUUUAAUCCACCAAUUGAUCAAAUCUCAAUGGCAUAGCAUGGCAAUUACAUUACUAACCAAUUUAUCAAGGCAAAACAGAUAGUUCAUAUUUUUCAACACAAGUAUAAAUUCAACCAAUCA
RNAcentral lists this long non-coding RNA (288 nucleotides) under Theobroma cacao (cacao). RNAcentral's name for it is "long non-coding RNA (TCAC_LNC002886)". The record is from RNAcentral. Lineage: Eukaryota; Viridiplantae; Streptophyta; Magnoliopsida; Malvales; Malvaceae.